This 221-nucleotide ribosomal RNA is filed under the name uncultured bacterium. Its description in RNAcentral is "partial 16S ribosomal RNA". It matches the Rfam family "Bacterial small subunit ribosomal RNA", at positions 524 to 743 of the family's 1533-position model. The record is from RNAcentral.
UACGAAGGGGGCUAGCGUUGCUCGGAAUCACUGGGCGUAAAGGGUGCGUAGGCGGGUCUUUAAGUCAGGGGUGAAAUCCUGGAGCUCAACUCCAGAACUGCCUUUGAUACUGAGGAUCUUGAGUUCGGGAGAGGUGAGUGGAACUGCGAGUGUAGAGGUGAAAUUCGUAGAUAUUCGCAAAGAACACCAGUGGCGAAGGCGGCUCACUGGCCCGAUACUGA